Molecule: small nuclear RNA, 106 nt
Organism: Elgaria multicarinata webbii
Lineage: Eukaryota; Metazoa; Chordata; Lepidosauria; Squamata; Anguidae
Source: RefSeq, a predicted model, not a curated record
GUUUAACUUUGGUGGGACGUAUACUAAAAUUGGAACAAUACAGAGAAGGUUAGCAUGGCUCCUACGCAAGGUUGAUAUACAAAUUCCUGAAGCAUUCCAUAUUUUU